Homo sapiens (human) is the source of this 1018-nucleotide long non-coding RNA. The record is from Ensembl. Lineage: Eukaryota; Metazoa; Chordata; Mammalia; Primates; Hominidae.
AGUGCAAUCUUCGGUUGCCUGGACUAGCGCUCCGGUUUUUCUGUGCUGAACCUCAGGGGACGCCGACACACGUACACGUCCCUUCGAUAGCUCAGCUGGUAGAGCGGAGGACUGUAGCUACUUCCUCAGCAGGAGACAUCCUUAGGUCGCUGGUUCGAUUCCGGCUCGAAGGAGACAAGUGCGGUUUUUUUCUCCAGCUCCCGAUGACUUAUGGCACUUUCCUUGGGUGCCUUCAGUGACACAUUGCAUUCCAACGAGCAGUUUGAAAGUCUAGCGCUUUCUCCCCAUUUUGGGCCUCCCAGCCUGCACGGGACUCAUCUGAGGCUAAGCUGCCCAUAGUUCGGGGAGACCCACAGGGAAAACAAAACAAGAAACAGAGAACUUGGAAACGGACGCUGAUUACUUUGAACGUUUGCUCAACCGAGGAAGCAGGAACUGUUCGGCCCCAUCUCAAGUCCGCAGGGCGGACUGCCUGGCUCUGGGCAGAUCCGAGGUGGAUAGGACAAGGCAAAAGGUAGCCCUGGAGAGCUGUACUCUCCAUCUAACCAUAAGUUCUUUGUUCUGUUUGAUGAACAAAUGGCUCCUUAAACUAAGCCUGGAUUAUUUUCAAGUACCUGGACUUGCAAUUACCUGCACCAAAGAGACAAAAGAGAACAUGGUUUCAGAGCUGCACUGUGCACAUUCCAAGUACUCAAGAACCACAAGUGACUAGAGAUUGGACACUACAGAUAUAGAACAUUUCCAUCAUUAGCGGAAAUUCUUAUGGACAGUGCCCUUCUAAAGCAUGGGUGUGGUGCAGCUUAGUGGGUGAGGUCAUGGGCUCUGUGCUCAAAAGAUGUGUCUCUCAGUGUGCAUCACAGUUCAGCAGCCACGUGACUCAGGGCAACUACUUAACUUGCUCAGCCACAGUUGACUCAGUGGAGAUAAUAAUACCUGAGACAGGGAGCUGUGACAUGAAGUAAUGGGUAUUCAGUACAUAUUUAUCAUAUUUGUUGUAGUGGUAUAAUAGUAAAAAUAA